GAAAAGAACUCUGAAGAGAGAGUUCAAUAGUACGUGAAACCAUAAUGAGUAAAACGGAUAACUGUACUGUUUUAGCGUUUUGCUUUUCAACAGUUUGUAGUGAUAUUCGACAGUGCGAGAAUUAGCUGUUUCUCAGCAAAAUUCGCGUAGGUAGAAUGUUGUCAUCAGCUGUGAUUUAGUGCAAUUCCUAUCAUUAAAAAGCUUUACGGUCCUGGCAGAGGUGUGCUGCAGUUCGCACUACGUGUGAAGUAACAUGCUGUGCUAUGUGGUUGUUGAGUUUGGCUGAGAUUACUUUAGUCCGAAAUGUUUAAAGCUUUUGUUACAUGUAUGUCUAGCAGACUUGUUUAUUCUGGUUUGUGGCGCUCAUGUGGUAAUUGUUUGCGUUUCAUGUUUAAUGAUCAAGUACUAGUUAUUCGACCCGUCUUGAAACACGGACCAAGGAGUUCAAAUGGCACGCGAGUCAUUGGGUGUAAAAAUCCAAAGGCGAAGUGAAAUGCGAGCGUAUUGUUAUUUGUGGUAUCCAUGAAAAAAUGAUAAGCUACUGAUGCUAUCAGGCAUUUGUAGACUACAAGCGUGUCG
RNAcentral lists this ribosomal RNA (579 nucleotides) under Poecilochirus carabi sensu lato. RNAcentral describes it as "partial large subunit ribosomal RNA". It matches the Rfam family "Eukaryotic large subunit ribosomal RNA", at positions 366 to 807 of the family's 3401-position model. The record is from RNAcentral. Lineage: Eukaryota; Metazoa; Arthropoda; Arachnida; Mesostigmata; Parasitidae.